GAUGAACGCUGGCGGCGUGCCUAAUACAUGCAAGUCGAACGAAACUUCUUUAUCACCGAGUGCUUGCACUCACCGAUAAAGAGUUGAGUGGCGAACGGGUGAGUAACACGUGAGCAACCUGCCCAAAAGAGGGGGAUAACACUUGGAAACAGGUGCUAAUACCGCAUAACCAUAGUUACCGCAUGGUAACUAUGUAAAAGGUGGCUAUACUACCGCUUUUGGAUGGGCCCGCGGCGCAUUAGCUAGUUGGUAGGGUAAAGGCUUACCAAGGCAAUGAUGCGUAGCCGAAUUGAGAGGUUGAUCGGCCACAUUGGGACUGAGACACGGCCCAAACUCCUACGGGAGGCAGCAGUAGGGAAUCUUCAACAAUGGGCGAAAGCCUGAUGGAGCAACGCCGCGUGGGUGAAGAAGGUCUUCGGAUCGUAAAACCCUGUUGUUAGAGAAGAAAGUGCGUGAGAGUAACUGUUCACGUUUCGACGGUAUCUAACCAGAAAGCCACGGCUAACUACGUG
This 512-nucleotide ribosomal RNA is filed under the name uncultured bacterium. Its description in RNAcentral is "partial 16S ribosomal RNA". It matches the Rfam family "Bacterial small subunit ribosomal RNA", at positions 28 to 507 of the family's 1533-position model. The record is from RNAcentral.